This 237-nucleotide unclassified non-coding RNA is filed under the name fungal sp. RNAcentral describes it as "partial internal transcribed spacer region". The stretch from base 1 to 46 matches the Rfam family "Eukaryotic small subunit ribosomal RNA", at positions 1786 to 1831 of the family's 1831-position model. Lineage: Eukaryota; Fungi. The record is from RNAcentral.
AAGUCGUAACAAGGUUUCCGUAGGUGAACCUGCGGAAGGAUCAUUACAAAUCAUGUUCACUGGCUGGCUGGUUGGUCAGACUUACUUGUUUGUCUGGCUAGCUAGCUAGGUGAACACAUUGGCACAGGGCAGCAGCACUGCAAGGUGACGCUGCCUUGAUGUUUACGCUUGUUUGUUUGACAGAGUAAAGUGAAGCUAAAAUAUAGACAACUUUUAACAAUGGAUCUCUUGGCUCUU